CAGGGUUCCGCCCCCUCACUCUCUUUAUCGCUGUUGACUCCAAAAAGUUGUACUCACAAAGUUACCAGCAGAUCUGUUUGUGCGGCUCCAUGUUUACUGGUGCUGCUGCAUGUGGAUGACCGAAAUAUCAGUUUUUGUGACAAGUGCAGCUUAGUUUAUCCGUGUUUUGGUUUUGACCAAAUGUCUCUGUAUGGACAUGAUUUUUUUUGUCAUAAAAAAUAAAUAAUAAUUAAGAGAAAAGGAAAACAAGCCAGCUGCUGGUGGAUUUCUGUAGCUGGUGUUCAAGACACGUUCAUGCGUAAAAACAAGAAGACGGCAGUGGCGCAAAGUUAAUUCAAUUAGGCUUUUUUAGGGGUUAAAAAGAAUGGCUUCGAAAACACGAAGCUUUUUUUCAAGACGUAAUAUGAACUGUCAAGAAAAUAAAAAAUGCCAAGGGCACAUGUGAGCAGACAUUUCCACAUUAAAAUAAAUAAGUAAAAUACAGUUCAAGGUAAAUCAAUAAAACGCAGACAUCAGAAGAAUAUCUUUUCCCUGGAUUUAGGUGUUGUUAGUUUUAACCCUUUGCUCUCAGCAGCAGUUUAUUGCUCAGUAUUCUGUGGAUAUGAUUCUUUUUCUCCAUAUGGCGAUUACAAAUAAUUUGGCUAUCGCAGUUAAAUUUAAAGAAGCAUUAAAUUAAGUUUUAAUAGUGCAGGCUGUCAUUCUUCUAUAAUGCUGAAGGUAGGAAAACCAGCAAAAAUCUCUUAAAACUUGAUUUGUUCACUUUAUUUUUUCAAACUUCCCCGUUUAAAAAAAAUCACUUAAUAUAAUUUAAGUUGCGGUUUUAUUCUAUGAGAAGUUAAAGCAGACCUUUUCUUGAGGUGUGAAGGUUCAGCAGUAAAUUAAAUCAGCUUGACAUUUUAUUUCAGUGACUGUCUUGGCAGCACCUUCAAAGGUGUUAUUUUUUUUCUUUUUGCACACCAACAAACCAUUAUUCACCAGCUUUUUCCCCUCGUCUUGCUUCUAACCUGGCUUGGCAGACACUUAAACUGCAUUUAGUUCACUUCACUGACAGAUCAUGCCCCUGUUGACAGCAGUACGUGGAACAGUUACUGACAUGUCUUAAUUCAUGUUUCCAAUCGAACUGGGGGGAAGUCGCCUAAAAAAACAAAAAACUACAAAUAAGCAACUCGCAGGUUUUUGGAACCUGAAAAAUAAAUAAAAUGUACGUGCAACUUCAGACAUUGAACCAGUGGCGCACUGAUCCUCCCUCGUGAAGUUUUCUUAUUGAUUUUCAUUCUGUUAGAAAGGAGAGCUCCAGAUCAUGGGGCAGGUGCGCAUCAUGUUCCCAUUGAAACUGAUUUAUGAACUUCAUCAUCAGCAACUGAGGUGAAGGCUUCACUUUAAGAAUUUUUAUUAUUUACAAAUGGGGUGUUGCAGAAUUACAUAGAAUAAAAAAUAAAACGCAUAUGAAUUCAUGUUAGGGUGAUGUUUAUUAGCAGGUGACCAUUUUAUUUAAUUUGGACAAUGACUCUGGCUCAUGUUUAUACUAUUAUUACAAUUUUUAGGUCUCUAAAAAUAUAUCACCCAUGACCACCUAUGUGUGUGUGUGUGUGUGUGUGUGUGUGUGUGUGUGUGUGUGUGUGUGUGUGUGUCGUUAAAUAAAUAAAUAUAUAAAAAAUAAAUUAUGCCCAGCUCCAAAAAGAGCUCCUGGAAGCCUCAUAAAAAACCCAGAAGGAGCGGUGGGUGCAUUGUUUAUGAUUUGUUUAGGAGGGGCCCCUGUUUCAUACACAGUAAAUUAAAGCAACACGGUAAAUUGCAGCUAAUUGAUACACGGGCAAAUUUAACACCAAAAUAUAGAAUUUUGAUGAUUAAAAUACCAACAAUUUGUAAAUAUCAUUCAAUUACCACUUUAUCUAUUUUAUUUUGAAAUUUUAAAAAAAAAAAACCAGAAUGGAGUUUCCUGAAAGAAUGGGUUAAUUUUUAUUGACAUAUAGUUUCCACAUUACCCCCCCAAAAACUGUCGAUGCCUCAGAGAGAAGCGGGGGCGUCUUGAACCUCUCUCUCUCUCUCUCUCCCUCUCUCUCUUUAAAACAAAGACGCUUUGUCAUAAACAGGGUUAUUUUACCAAAAGGAGUCAAGGGGGCAACAUAUGUGGUCUUAACGGGUCAUAGGUCAAACAUCCAUGAAACACAAGGUCACGGAAGCCACACAAGUAACCUUCCAGUGUGUCAACAUAUUGAUACUGUCAGAUAACACAGGGGAAGAAAUACGCCUUUGGCACCCAUUAGAAUACGCAGCCGUGAGCGCCCUUCUGUGAUCAAGACUGUUGAUUUUAUUGAGAUUUCUUCUCCUGUCAGCUCCAACUUCAGAUCACACUCUGAGCAGUGCAUAUUUCAAGCGAUUUAAUUGUUACAUCUGCAGGGCCACGUCUCAAUGUGUGCUUCUGAAAACCUGUUGAAAUACUUGGUCUUUGGGGAUUUUUUCAAUAGGCUGGACCCCUCUUCUUCUCCCAAGCAGAAGGAAAACCCGCAACCAUGUGCCUCUUCCCGAUUGAUUUUUUUCUUCCUCUAAAUUUUGUUUUUUCACCCUAUCUGGGGAAGGUUUUUUUUUUUUCUGUGGUUUUCCAGAGAAAUAAAGAACUUCUUAUAGGGUCGGCAGCCGUGACUUUGAACUUGGAUCAGCUCCUGCGUUUCCUGUGGUGAGGGUUAAAAUAGACUUGGAAGAAUGGCACACAACGCUCAGCCUGUCCCACUCUGAGCUAGGAGACACACAAUUUCAAAAAAAAAAAAAAAAAAAAGUUUUUAAAACGUUUUCCCUCUCGCCUUCGCCAUUAUUUGUCACCCAGAGAGACUCGGAGAGCUGAGACAGACAGACUGAGGUAGGCAGGCAGACAGACAGACAGGCAGGCAGGCAGACAGACAGACGGCAGAGCUGCUGGGAUUUGUUGAAAAUGUUUAUCUAAUGAGACAGAAAUGAAAGAGGACAGGGAUCAAACCGGUUGCGGUCCCCACGAUGCAGACUCUUAUUCGUUGACAGACAGCGAGAGGAGGGUGCCGCCUCUCUUCUUAUCCACUCUUCUCUCACUUUUUGCCUUUUGGGGAACACACCGCUUUGCAACCAGGGAAUCAUUUGGGAACCCCAGAGGAGACGAAGGACCAGUUGGCAGAGAUUGGAGAGGGGAUGUAUCUCACGGCUUCGGGUAAGGGCCUCACUGUGGCCAUGCAGGCAGGUUGGCCUUUGAGCUUUGACUGCUGCAUUCCUGCACAAGUUUUGGACAUUUCCCUGGUAGCCACCUGGAGAGCAACCGGCCCCAGACCUCAGUCUAUUUUUCCAUCAACAUCCAUCAUCUGGGAACAGACUGGCCUUACCUAAGACAUGUAACUUUAGGAAAAUGUUUUCUACUUUUUUAGAGCAAGACAACAGGACAAUCUAUGAAAACACAAAGGCAGCUAUCAUUAUUAUUAGACUGAGAUGAACUUUACUGUCAUUCACUGCACAUUCGAUCGAAACUUGCAUUGGCUCAUUGUAGUAUAAGUAAGACUAUUUACCCUCCUAAUAAACAACAAGAAGCUAAGAUUAAUAAGUAAGUGUCUAAAAAUGACUACAGCAAUACAUUUAAAUAUAAAAAGCAUCAAAGAAUAGUGUUGUGUAUUGCAGACAUAGGUCAGACCGAAUGUAUUGCACAUCAAUUAUUGCACUUGAGCUCAUUGUGUGUAUGAGGAUGGUGGGGGAUUAAUGUGAGAUUAUCGCGCAUUAUUACGAGGAUACAAGUGGCAGAAUUUGUGCACACAUAGUUUUUAAACUACCAAAAGCUCAAAAGCAGAGAUGGAAAGUUUUUCUUGGUGAAAUGACAAACACAAAAACUACUUUCUGAGCCACAAAAGGAUCUUUUUUUUGCCACUUCUUGCCAUAAACACUGUGUUUUUCCCAUAAACACUCUUUUCCAGUGUUUGUGACAAACAAAGAAAACGUCAAAAACCAGGAAUGAGUGAGUAGAUUAAAAGUAAAGAAACUGAAGAUCAAGAGAAAAAUGAAAGCGAUGUACAACUGUUCCUUGUAGAUAGACAGGUUUUUUAACUGCCUUGUUGAAAAGCUACUAAGUGUGCGGCAAGAAUCACAUAGUUUUGCUUUGUCUUUACAUGUUGUGGGCCCCAUUGUGUGGUUCUCUUCAGUGAGGAUUUUAGAUUGCGCCUGCUGAGGUUACAGUUACAAACAAGAAAGAACAUCUAAAGAGGCCGCAGUUUAUUAUGAAAGGAAAGCCAUUAUUUCCAGCAUCCAAGCAGCACAACACACGGGGGAAGGUGACAAUAGGUGAGGAGAAGUGAAGGUGGGAGAAAUAGGGCAGUUAGACGGGCAGGUGGAUGGAGACGGAGCGGGAACAAACAAAUGAAGAGGGCACCUCAUACGUGGCUCCCCCGCCGGGCCCGCUUGAAUAGAGCCAGAGCAGAUGUCAAAGGACAAGCCUCUCAGCCACAUUGUACACAUAUCUGUCACCACAGCACCCUGACAAAAUAUUGGCAACUAGGUAAAUAUUGUGGAUGGCAGGGGGUUAGAGGUGUAUGCUGGACCUGUAAGACUUAAGUGAAAAUCAAUAGUGGUGAGCUGCUGAGGCCACAGUGGUGUGUGUGUCUGUGUCUGCAGAACAGUGUGUUGGGCUGGUGUGUUUGCGGUAAUGGCAGGCUAUCAUAAUCACAGGACACUUAGAAAGGUCAGAGUGUUUGGUGAGCACUCUGUCUCUUCUAUAUACACUACAUAUAUACUAGUAUAAAUCUCUCUCUCUCUCUCUCUACAUAUAUAUAUAUAUAUGUGAAAUGCAUUCACAAAGUCAUAUACAGAGGUAAUUUGAGCUUUUCUUUAUUCUUUUCUUUCUCACUUUUUCAGCCUCUCCUUGAUUUUUGCAUUAUUUUGAUGCACAUAUUAUGUCAAAGAAUUUUAUUUCUACAUUUGUUCCACCUCUUCUUUUUUUUUCUUUAUGCAGUCAAUUGCAAAUUUUGUAAAUGUUUAAAGUCCAUCCUCUACCUUUUCACUUGGUUUCUCUAAACGCAAAAUCUGAUUAAGCAAAACCCAGAAAACCCAUUUUGUGAUUCAUACCUCUUUGCUCCCUUCAUCGACCAAGCAGAACAGCUAUUGCUCACUCACUCAGUAAUGAAGACCCCGAGCAAGCCCAGACGGGCCUUUUGGGCAAACAUACAGAUACACACCGCCACACAAACACAUGUCGUAGGGGUUAAUAAACACAGCUCAAAUGUUGGGUUAAGGACUGGAGCACGGGCCCAGAAUCAAGCUGUUUUGGGUUUCAUCACCAUCCUAAAUCUAAUUCCAUGUUCUAGAGGUGGAGUGGUUAACUGCUUUCUGCUGCAAUGCUAUGGUCAUGUCAUCUAAGAGAAAUCCAAGCGUAUGAUUAGGCCUCGGCAGGUUUGGGUGAGGCCGAGGGGAGACUGUGGGUGGGAUAGGCAGGUUGGUUUCAGGGGGACUUUCUAAUAGGCAUUUACUUGGUGAGAGCUCCCGCCUUCAACACACUCACACACACUCACACACACACAAUUUCUACACUGUUAUUGCUCUGUCUCCUUCUUUCUCUCUCACUCAUUUGGUGAUCUCAUGGAGUGAGACUUUUCCAUGGAGGACAAUAGCAGUGGAAAUGGAUUAUGAUUAUAAAGGAUAGGUAGUGGGUUGGCACAGCACCUACACUGUGCAGCAUUAAUAUGGCGAAGCACUCCCCAGGAGGCUCUCUGUCCUUUCUGCCUAAACUGUAGGCUUGGUGAUUUCUCUUUAUGCCACUUUUCGGUAUACACUAUACCGUGCCUUUGCGCUUACACCUUACAUUAUAUUUGCUGAACACCUUCAAUAACCCUCCGCUCUGCAACUGGGAACAUUUGAAAUCUCCUCUGGCUUUUUGCUGUUAUGAGGGAAUUCAAGUGUGAAGGUUUGAUAUGGUCAAAUAAUCAGCAUUAAUUUGAUAGAAUCACAAAAGCGAUACCUUUUUCUCUUUUUUCCCUUUUUUUUGUCUGCCUCCCCCAUCAAAUAAUUAGUUGCACAUUUUAGAUAUUUGAUAGCAGUUUGGCCAUUAAUAAUUCAUGCUCACUAAAUUCAUAAAACAUCAUCUUGUCCCCAGCAAGUAACAUUUGAUAUUACAUCUAAGGCCCAGAGCAGAGAUGUUUGCCAGAAUCCCAUCAAAUGAAAUUUCUAAAAAUACUGACUAGCAUGUUCUCCCUCAAAGGCUCUCAGUGGCCCUUUAAGAACGACUGGAGGAGGAGAGAAGUCCCCUGCUAUCUAUUUUCUUUGGCGCCACAGCUCUUUUCUGAACGUCUUCCAUUUGAUUCCCUGCCUCUCCUUUUUUUCCCCUUUUCCCUCUCCCUCUCUUCUAGCCCCUUCUCAUGAUGUCAAUUUAAUUCAAUCUAAAGCAUUUAAAGCGACCAGUAUCUUUUAAUGUCUGUUGGAAAGGCACUUGUAACACAUUAAAUUUACUUUCACCUUUCUGCUGGGAUUUUAAGGGGGGGAAAUAAAGAUCAAUUAUUUGCCGAAUCUGAAGUUUCAUUAAAAUCACUUUUCUCUGUCUGUGUCCUUGCAUCGUUUUAAGUGGGCCAUCUGUCUAAACAUCUCUCAGGGUCCUUUUUCCUUUUUUUUCUGAUCAUUUCCUCGCCUUAUUCAUGAACCCUAGGAGUCCAGCUUUGUAGUAGUGUUGGAGCUGGAGCAGCCUACCCCCACUGAAUACAGCUCUGGGCCUCAGCCUGCGCAAGACUCCCCCUCUUACCCUGUUACCUCUCCCCCACUCUCCCAAAUAGCCUCCCCUCCCCUUUACUUCCCUCCACCUCUUCCCCAUAAGGGCCCACAGAAUCUCUGAACUUGCUACACAGAAAUGACCCGCCUUAUUGUGAUCAGUUAUCCUCACCCUCUCUUUCUCUCUCCCUCUGCCCCUCUCCAACCCACCCACUGUUUCAGAUCCCCCUGCCUUCGUCCCUUAGCCUUCCCUGCCUCUCCUCCUUAUUGCAGAUUUGUAUGCAGGCUGUGACCUGGGUGGCUACAAAGCACCGCACAUUAUUCUUGAUCAUUCCUCUGCCCCCCAUGAAGCCAGUUAUGAGGAAAGAUCCCUUAAUGAUGCUUUGACUAUUAACAGUGUUUUAUGUCCAAAUGUCUCCCUCGUUCUUCUAACCAACCAGUCAAAUAUAGAUACAAGAAACCGGGGAAUCUGCAGUGAUGAGGUUUUGGUAAAAUAUACAUAAGCCCGUUUGAUUAGGACCAUAAUUGCCAAGUAAAGGGUAUAGUCGAAUGACUGAGGGUUCUAGUAGGACUGAAGUUGAACAUGAUUGGAGCUGAUGGUGCACUUUUAUGUCAAUUUAUUCAAAUUUUUUACACUGUUCUCGCAUAUACUGUCUUAUCAGCAUGAAUAACCUGUGCGAGUUGGUGAUUGUAGCUUGGAAAAUGUGCCAAAUGGUGUGAAGGUGUCUUAUUUAGGUGAUAAAAAUGAGUUUUUAAAAACUUUUAAAGUCUUGUUUGGGAA
Long non-coding RNA from Amphiprion ocellaris (clown anemonefish), 7480 nucleotides. RefSeq lists it as uncharacterized. NCBI's taxonomy places the organism in Eukaryota, Metazoa, Chordata, Actinopteri, Pomacentridae. The transcript has 5 exons. The record is from RefSeq and is a predicted model, not a curated record.